CAGCCGCCGCGGUAAUACGGAGGGUGCAAGCGUUAAUCGGAAUUACCGGGCGUAAAGCGCACGCAGGCGGUUUGUUAAGUCAGAUGUGAAAUCCCCGAGCUUAACUUGGGAACUGCAUUUGAAACUGGCAAGCUAGAGUCUUGUAGAGGGGGGUAGAAUUCCAGGUGUAGCGGUGAAAUGCGUAGAGAUCUGGAGGAAUACCGGUGGCGAAGGCGGCCCCCUGGACAAAGACUGACGCUCAGGUGCGAAAGCGUGGGGAGCAAACAGGAUUAGAUACCCCUGUAGUCCCUGUCUCUUAUAC
Molecule: ribosomal RNA, 301 nt
Filed under: uncultured bacterium
Lineage: Bacteria
Description: partial 16S ribosomal RNA
Rfam family: Bacterial small subunit ribosomal RNA
Source: RNAcentral